AGUGAACGCUCGCGGUAGGCCUAACACAUGCAAGUCGAACGGCAGCACAGUAAGAGCUUGCUCUUACGGGUGGCGAGUGGCGGACGGGUGAGGAAUACAUCGGAAUCUACUUUUUCGUGGGGGAUAACGUAGGGAAACUUACGCUAAUACCGCAUACGACCUACGGGUGAAAGCAGGGGAUCUUCGGACCUUGCGCGAUUGCAUGAGCCGAUGUCGGAUUAGCUAGUUGGCGGGGUAAAGGCCCACCAAGGCGACGAUCCGUAGCUGGUCUGAGAGGAUGAUCAGCCACACUGGAACUGAGACACGGUCCAGACUCCUACGGGAGGCAGCAGUGGGGAAUAUUGGACAAUGGGCGCAAGCCUGAUCCAGCCAUACCGCGUGGGUGAAGAAGGCCUUCGGGUUGUAAAGCCCUCUUGUUGGGAAAGAAAAGCAGCAGGUUAAUACCCCGCUGUUCUGACGGUACCCAAAGAAUAAGCACCGGCUAACUUCGUG
This 492-nucleotide ribosomal RNA is filed under the name uncultured bacterium. RNAcentral's name for it is "partial 16S ribosomal RNA". It matches the Rfam family "Bacterial small subunit ribosomal RNA", at positions 29 to 507 of the family's 1533-position model. The record is from RNAcentral.